Piliocolobus tephrosceles (Ugandan red Colobus) is the source of this 4356-nucleotide long non-coding RNA. Lineage: Eukaryota; Metazoa; Chordata; Mammalia; Primates; Cercopithecidae. The record is from Ensembl.
AUGUUCAUGUUUGGAAAAACAAACGAUGCAUAUAAAAUACAAAAAGAUGCAUAUAAAAUAACAAACGAUGCAAACAUAAUACCAAACGAUGCAUAUACAAUGCCAAAUAAUACAUACGCAAUUCCAAACGAUUUGAUACAUUAUGUCGUAGCAGAAGGGCCGGGAUUAAUAGGAGGUGAAAUUAACACAUGGCUUUCGUUUUUUGUAUAUACUAAAAAUUUAAAAAAAAAAGAUUUAUAUUACGGGAGUAGUGUAAAAAUAAGAUUACAAGUAGAGCCAGUUGGUUACUUGAAGUCGGUAUACACGUUAAGUCCUUACAGUGCUGAACUUGAAUGUUAUAAUGAUAAUAAUAUAAAAAAGGGAAAGGAAUAUAUAACUACACAAAAUACAUUAUCAACAGAUUCAAACAAUUUAAUUUGUACUAAAUUAAAUGAUAUAGAAGAAAACAUUAAUUACAAAGUUAAGAAUUUAAAAAACGGAUCAUACCAAAUAUCAUAUAAACUUAACAAAGCUGGUAAAAAACGAUUAUACAUAUUUUAUGAUGGUAUUAAUAUUAUUGGUUCUCCAUACGACAUUAUUAUUAAUCAUAGUACAGCAGAUCCUAAGUUUUGUAAAUUAUAUGGAAAAGGUGUAACUAAAUGUUUAGGUACUCCAUUUUUAACAUUCAAAACGAUUGAAUAUAACGAUAUACAGUUAGUUAAAAAAACAGAUGAAUAUAACAAUGAUCAAACAAUUUAUCAGUUCAAUAAUAACAGUAAUGAUACAUCACAACUCGACUUUAACAACAAUACAAAUGCAAAAUUUCAAACAAAUGUAAAUAACCAUAACAAAAUGGAUAGUUACAGUAACAAAAACGAAAUAAAUCAAACAGAUAAUAUCGAAAAAAAUAGUAUAAAAGAAAAACAAGUUCAAUUUUACAAUGUAACAACAGAAAACAAAAAAAAUAAUGAAGAAGAACCUUUUCACAUUAUCAGUGCCUCAAUCGAAGAUGUAACAAAAACUGGAUACGGAUAUGGUAAUGACAUAAACGGGGUAAACGAAGUAAGCAGGGUAAACAAACCGACUGUUAGCGAUAUAAAUCUAAUGAAAAAUAAAUCCUUCGCAGAAAUAGACAAAACACAUAACGAAAAGUAUAAAAACUUUUUGAAAAGUGUAGAGCUUAUAAAUUCAUUUAUUUUAGUUUUAUAUGAUAAAUAUGGAGAAAGAAUAAAAAUAGGAAAUGAUUUGGUUAAAGUAGUUGGUAAAAAAGGCGCAUAUAUAAAAAAUGUAAUUGACAAUAACAACGGUAGUUAUAAAAUAGAAUACAUAUAUUAUUAUAAAAAAGAAAAAAAUAAAAAAAAAAUAAAUCAUGCUAACAAACAAGAGAUAAUAAAUUUUUAUAAAAAUUAUAUUUGCCAAACAAGUAAUUUUAAUCAUAAUAUAAUUAUUGAUCAAUUUGAAAAACAAUUCCCAAAUAUAUAUACACAUUGUGAAAUAUCUAUUUAUAUUAACGAAAUCGAAAUUUCUUUUUCGCCAAUUAAACCAAUCAUAUUAAAUAUUCAUAACAUCAUUGAUUUCUAUAAUAUAUAUGACCAGUAUACAUAUUCUGGUUUAUUAUUGAAAAAUUUUGAAUUAUUAUUAAACACAAAUAACUAUAAAGAAUGUAUGGAUAGAUUAGUUUUAUUUUAUAAUAAUUUUAUCGACCAAAUGGAUAUAAAUACUAGUAAAAUCGAAGAGACAAACAUGGAACGGUUACAACAUUUAAGUGAUUCAUACAAGGACAUAAAAAAGGAAGACUUUUUUUUUCGUAUACCACUAAAUAUAUUUGAUUUGAAAAAAGGUGCUAUAAUUAAAAGUAUGUUACAGUUGGAUUCGGUUAAAAGUGGGAAAACACUUGGUAAGAAUAGCGGUAUGUUCGGUAAGAAUAGCGGUUUGUUCGGUAAGAAUAGCGGUUUGUUCGGUGCGAGUAGCGGUUUGUUCGAUGAUAAUAGCAGCAUGUACGGUGGAAAUAGCGGUUUGUUCGGUGCGAGUAGCGGUUUGUUCGAUGAUAAUAGCAGCAUGUACGGUGGAAAUAGCGGUUUGGUCUGCGUUAACAACGUACCAACAACCCAUUUAUUCCAAUUCCAAGAACACACAAAUGAAAAAGAUGCACUAUUUAUUAAUGAGUGGUUAUACAUGUACUCACAUAAAAAUAAAAUUACCAAUUUAGACAAUAAAUAUGAAUUGAGUACCAGUUUGGCAUAUUCACUAAGCAACAUUAUUUUACAACACCUUUUAUAUAUAAAGAAAUAUACUUAUUUUAUAAAUUCAACAGAAUACGAAAAUGAGUUAUUACAACAUAAUAUUAUCGAUAAAUUAAAAAAAAUUUUAGAAGAUGAAUAUAAUAAAAUGUUUACUUAUCAAACUAGAGCUAUUAUAAACUAUUGUUCCAAAAUUGGAAAAGCACAAUUUGAAAGUUUUGAAGCAUUAUUAAAUGUAUAUAAAAACAUAUCAUUUGAAUUGAAAAAAUUAAGAUUAAAUGAUUUGGCUUAUGCGUUUGAUAAAUGCUGUGAAAAUAUGUGUGAAGAACUGUAUCUAAAAAAUAUCGAAUCUAGUUUAAAUAAAAAAGAAAAACUUUUAAAUAAAUACGAAUCGAUAAUAAACGAAAAAGUAGAAAAAAUAAAUGAACUGAAACAAGAAAUAAAAAAAUAUGAUCAAACGGAUAAAAAUGUUGAUAUCGAUAAAAUAGGGGAAUUGUUUUCUGUUAAAAUAAACAAAAGUGUGCAAACAGGUGAUUAUCUUUCUUAUAGAAAUGGUUUUUUAUCUUCAUUGCUUCAGUCGAGAGAAGUCGCAAAUGGUGGUGCGAGUAAAGACAUAAGUAGUGAUGUGAGUAAAGACGCAAAUAUAGAUGUGAAUAAAGACGCAAAUACAGAUGUGAAUAAAGACGCAAAUACAGAUGUGAAUAAAGACGCAAAUACAGAUGUGAAUAAAAACAAACCUAUAGAAAACAAUCAAAAUAAAGACAUACAAGAAAAAAUAAACAAAUUAGUUAAAACAUACUGGAGAAACGCAUCUCCACGUGAUAUAUAUUUUACUAUGCAAAAUAUACUGAAAAAUAGCCCAAGGUUAAAAGUAACAUUAGAUGAAGUUUUCAACUAUUAUAGUUGUAGUUAUGAUAAUAAUAAUAAUAAUAAUAAAAAAAAUAUAACUGAUAUAUACAUGAAAAGAUUUGAACAACUGAGUGAAGCAAAAAAUUUGAAUAAAUUAAAAAAAAAUGAAUCAAUAGAAGGUCAACUAUUAUUAAUUCAUAGUAAUAACAACAAUAAUAAUAGAGAACAACUGAAUAAUGCUUGUUUAACUUAUAAUGCUUAUAUUUCAUUCAUUGUAGAUAUAAAUUGUAAUCAUUAUUUUAUAAAAAAUAUAGAGGAUGUGUUAUGGUUGUUUGAAAAGUUUUCAAUAGAGCCUUUAUCAAAUAAAAAGUUAUACAAUCCUUAUGGGUAUUUACGAGUUUUACCAAAAUACUUAUACAUACCAUUUAUACGAGAACUAGCAUAUAUUAAUUUAUUGUAUAUUAUAGCAGAAUUUAUUGUUCAAAAAAAACAAGAUGCCAAAUUAUAUUUAGAUAUUAAUCAUCCUUCUAGAUUAUCUGCUUUUUAUUAUUUUGUCAAAAACCAUUUUAUUGAUUUUUAUGAAAAAUUAAAUCAACUACAAAACUUUCAAAAUUAUAAACAAAAAUUAAUCGAUAAAAAUGUAAAAGAUCUUAAAAUACAAACAACUGUAGAUAUAGAAAACACUAUACAUAGUAUCAGUUAUAAAAACUUAGAUUAUUAUUUUACUAACGAAUUACCACUUGUUGUUAAACAUAAGAAUUUCGUUCAUACAUUUCCUUUAUUGUUUGAUUAUUACUCAGGAUUUUGUAAAACUAUUUCAGGAAAAGUACAUACUACUACACUAAAAAAUGUUAAUGGAAAUAAAAUAAAUGACAAACUUAAUGACAAACGGAAUGACGAAAACACAAAUGAUUCAUUAGAUACGAACAAUAUUAACGAUAAACAUAUUUCUACCACAAUUUUUAUACGUUUUUUGAGAGAAUUUGGUAUUAUUCCUCAUUUUUUUGAUACAAAAAUCGCAAUACAUAUUUUAAAUUCAUUUAUGCAAAAUACAAAAUCAUUAAAUUAUAAAAAUUUUACACAUGCUGUCAUUUUAUCUAUCUGUGAAUGUGUUAAAAAAAAUAUAUUAACACAAUUAAAUUUGUUAAAAAUGAAUAAAAAAAUAAAUUUUAAAUUACAAGCAGAUAAAAUACUUAAUUAUGAUUAUAUUGCUUAUGAAGCGAAGGAGUUGAUUUACUUGUUUGGCUUAGCAGAUAUGCAAAUAGUUAAGUCGAAGAUAAACGCUUGA